CCUACGGGUGGCAGCAGUGGGGAAUAUUGGACAAUGGGGGGAAGCCUGAACCAGCGACGCCGCGUGAGUGAAGAAGUAUCUCGGUAUGUAAAGCUCUAUUAGCAGGGAAGAAAGACAUGACGGUACCUGACUAAGAAGCCCCGGCUAACUACGUGCCAGCAGCCGCGGUAAUACGUAGGGGGCAAGCGUUAUUCGGAUUUACUGGGUGUAAAGGGAGCGUAGACGGCGAUGCAAGUCUGAAGUGAAAGGCGGGGGCCCAACCCCCGGACUGCUUUGGAAACUGUAGGGCUGGAGUGCAGGAGAGGUAGGUGGAAUGCCUGGUGUAGCGGUGAAAUGCGUAGAUAUUAGGAGGAACACCAGUGGCGAAGGCAGCUUACUGGACUGUAACUGACGUUGAGGCUCGAAAGCGUGGGGAGCAAACAGGAUUAGAUACCCCAGUAGUC
Molecule: ribosomal RNA, 443 nt
Filed under: uncultured bacterium
Lineage: Bacteria
Description: partial 16S ribosomal RNA
Rfam family: Bacterial small subunit ribosomal RNA
Source: RNAcentral